RNAcentral lists this ribosomal RNA (2918 nucleotides) under Caviibacter abscessus. RNAcentral describes it as "bacterial LSU rRNA". It matches the Rfam family "Bacterial large subunit ribosomal RNA". The record is from RNAcentral. Lineage: Bacteria; Fusobacteriati; Fusobacteriota; Fusobacteriia; Fusobacteriales; Leptotrichiaceae.
UAAAGCUAAGAAAGGGCGUACGGAGGAUGCCUAGGUAGUAAAAGCCGAAGAAGGACGUGAUAAGCUGCGAAAAGCUAGGGGGAGUUGCACAUGAACAAAGAUCCCUAGAUAUCCGAAUGGGAGAACCUGUAUAUUAGGAGAAUAUACACGAAAGAGGUAAGCCCGUGAACUGAAACAUCUAAGUAACGGGAGGAAAAGAAAGUAAAAACGAUUUUCUAAGUAGCGGCGAGCGAACGGGAAGGAGCCUAAACCAUAGUGGUGAAAAAGUUGGCGACGAUGCCAUUAUGGGGUAGAGGGGCUACAAGCACAGAUAGCCAUGAAGUGAGUUAUGUAUAUACUGUAAGAGGAAUAUAGUUGGAAAGCUAAACCAAAGAAGGUGAUAGUCCUGUAGGAUGUAGAGUAUAUAUGUAUAGAGUAGAACCCCGAGUAGCAUCAAGCACGAGGAAUUUGGUGUGAAUCAGUGAGGACCAUAUCUCAUAAGGCUAAAUACUUUUACUAACCGAUAGUGAAGAGUACCGUGAGGGAAAGGUGAAAAGAACCCUGAGUAAGGGAGUGAAAUAGAAUUUGAAACCGUACGCUUACAAGCGGUAGGAGCAGGGUAACCUGUGACUGCGUGGAUUUUGGUUAAUCAUCCUGCGAGUUAUGAUAUAUGGCAAGGUUAAGGAAAGCGGAGCCGAAGGGAAACCAAGUCUUAAAAGGGCGAAAGUCGUAUGUCAUAGACGCGAAACCUAGUGAUCUAGGCCUGUCCAAGUUGAAGCUAAGGUAAGACUUAGUGGAGGACUGAACUCACCGCCGUUGAAAUGAUGGGAGAUGAGAUAGGUUUAGGGGUGAAAAGCCAAUCGAACUAGGAGAUAGCUCGUUCUCUCCGAAAUGCAUUUAGGUGCAGCCUUAAUAGAAGAUAUGUGGGGGUAGAGCACUGUAUGGCCUAGGGGGCGUAUAGCUUACUGAAGUCAAGCAAACUACGAAUACCAUAUAUUAAUAAUUGGGAGUGAGUCUAUGGAUGACAAGGUCCAUGGACGAGAGGGAAAAAGCCCAGAACAACAGCUAAGGUCCCGAAUUAUGUCUAAGUGGGAAAGGAGGUGGAUAUUCCCAGACAACCAGGAGGUUGGCUUAGAAGCAGCCAAGCCUUAAAAGAGUGCGUAAUAGCUCACUGGUCGAGAGUAUCUGCGCCGAAGAUUUAACGGGGCUAAGACAUAAACCGAAGCUUUGUAACAUAAUGUAAGUUAUGUUGGUAGGAGAGCGUUCUGUAAGCCGUAGAAGGAGGAUUGAAAGAGAAUCUGGAGGUAUCAGAAGUGAGAAUGCAGGAAUGAGUAGCGAGAAAGAGGGUGAGAAUCCCUCUGACCGGAAGUCCAAGGAUUCCAGGGGAAGGUUUGUCCGCCCUGGGGGAGUCGGGACCUAAGGAUAAACAGAAAUGUGAAGCCGAAUGGAAAAUAGGUAAAUAUUCCUAUACCACUUAAUUAACGAUUGAAGGGAUGGAGUGACGCAGGAAGGUAUGUAAGAUGACUGACGGAAUAGUCAUUUUAAGGAAGAAGUAUGGGUUUACAGGAAAAGCCGUAGACUUAAAUAUGAGAACUGAAGAGUAAGCAUAUGUAAAGUAUGUAAGUUACAAAUCCUACACUGCCGAGAAAAACUUCUACUGAGGAGAUUAAGUGCCCGUACCGUAAACCGACACAGGUGGACAGGGUGAGAAACCUAAGGUCGACAGGCUAACUCUAGCUAAGGAACUCUGCAAAAUAGCCCCGUAACUUAGGGAGAAGGGGUACCUAUGAAAGUGAGUAAAGAGACAUUACGAGCAAGAGUAGGUCGCAGUGAAGAGUCCCAAGCAACUGUUUACCAAAAACACAGGUCUAUGCUAAGCCGGAAGGCGACGUAUAUGGGCUGACACCUGCCCAGUGCUGGAAGGUUAAGAGGAGGAUUGAGAGAUUCGAAUUGAAGCCCCAGUGAACGGCGGCCGUAACUAUAACGGUCCUAAGGUAGCGAAAUUCCUUGUCAGGUAAGUUCUGACCUGCACGAAUGGUGCAAUGAUUUGGGAGCUGUCUUGGCUGGAGGCCUGGUGAAGUUGUAAUAGCGGUGAAGAUACCGCUUACCUGCAGUAGGACGGAAAGACCCCGUGGAGCUUUACUGUAGUUUGGCAUUGGGUUUUGGCAAUGUGUGUAUAGGAUAGUUGGGAGACUAAGAGAUAUGUACGCAAGUAUGUAAGGAGUCAAUGUUGGAAUACCAACCAUAUAUUGUUGAAAUUCUAAUCAAGCAAUUGAGACAGUGCUAGAUGGGCAGUUUGACUGGGGCGGUCACCUCCAAAAGAGUAACGGAGGUGUUCAAAGGUUCCCUCAGGUUGGAUGGAAAUCAACCAGAGAGUGUAAAGGCACAAGGGAGCUUGACUGCGAGACUGACGGGUCGAGCAGGUACGAAAGUAGGACUUAGUGAUCCGGUGGUACUGAAUGGAAAGGCCAUCGCUCAACGGAUAAAAGCUACCCCGGGGAUAACAGGCUGAUACUUCCCAAGAGUCCAUAUCGACGGAAGUGUUUGGCACCUCGAUGUCGGCUCGUCUCAUCCUGGGGCUGGAGAAGGUCCCAAGGGUUGGGCUGUUCGCCCAUUAAAGAGGCACGCGAGCUGGGUUCAGAACGUCGUGAGACAGUUCGGUCCCUAUCCACUGCAGGCGUAAAGAGUAUUGAGAAGAACUGUCCUUAGUACGAGAGGACCGGGAUGGACGAAUCACUGAUGUACCAGUUGUAUCGCCAGAUGCAUAGCUGGGUAGUCACAUUCGGAAGGGAUAAUCGCUGAAAGCAUCUAAGUGAGAAGCCCCCUUCAAGAUAAGUGCUCGAUGAGUACCCACCGAGACUAGGUGGUAGAUAGGCUAGGGGUGUAAGUGUAGUGAUACAUUUAGCUGACUAGUACUAAUGAUACGACUGCUUUAGAAA